Molecule: long non-coding RNA, 441 nt
Organism: Oenanthe melanoleuca
Lineage: Eukaryota; Metazoa; Chordata; Aves; Passeriformes; Muscicapidae
Exons: 2
Source: RefSeq, a predicted model, not a curated record
GGGGACAGGGCUGCUCAGCCUGAGGGAAAGGAGGGCUGGGGGAGCUUAUCGCGCCCCACGGCUGCCUGGAAGGAGGCCGCAGCCAAGCGCGGGUCUGCCUCUCCUCACGGAAAGGGUGGUCAGGCACCGGAACACGCUGCCCCCGGCGAUGGUGGAGUCAGCAUCGCUGGAGGUAUUUAAAGGAGCAUGGAUGUGGCACCUAAGGAUGUGGUUUAGAGAUGGAGUUGGCGGCACCAUGACAGACACCUAAUAACAAAAGAUUUCUCAAUUUUUCUCCUUCUUCCACUCUUGAAGUUUCUCUGCUAGCUGUUUUCAAUGUUUAUUCACCAAAUCAGCGCAUGCGUUGCAGGCUUCAUCUUUGUGACUUGAAAAGCACAGACAAUUUUAGCCGAAGAAUGGAGAAAAUAAAUAGGAAAUUUUCAGAUUAUAUGUUUUCCUUAU